UACGUAGGCGGAAGAUUAAGUCAGUGGUGAAAUCCUGCAGCUUAACUGUAGAACUGUCAUUGAUACUGGUUUUCUUGAAUAUAGUUGAGGUAGGCGGAAUGUGUAAUGUAGCGGUGAAAUGCUUAGAUAUUACACAGAACACCGAUUGCGAAGGCAGCUUACUAAGCUAUGAUUGACGCUGAGGUAUGAAAGCGUGGGGAGCGAACAGGAUUAGAUACCCUGGUAGUCC
This 229-nucleotide ribosomal RNA is filed under the name uncultured bacterium. RNAcentral describes it as "partial 16S ribosomal RNA". It matches the Rfam family "Bacterial small subunit ribosomal RNA", at positions 568 to 796 of the family's 1533-position model. The record is from RNAcentral.